GUUUUAUUCUUAUAUUUGCCUCUCCCUACGCGAGGGAGACGAACUCUGAAUUAUUUCUUUGGUAACUCCACGUUCGUUGAACCUUUGAAACUUCGCGCGAGUCUGCUCGCCCCGGAAGACACGAGAGAACACGCCCAGCUCUAAAAGCACGACGCACGCAGCUCUUAGCAGGCACAAAGAUACCCACAUGGGGUACCAGGACUCCCCUCCUUUAUCUCUUCUUGAUUUAGAGGCUUGCAGAUGGGGUAAACACAGGCAGCAGUGCCAGAGCAGGAAAAGGCAGUUUGAGGAUGAGAGAGAGCUCCACAUCUCCCUGAGAGGAUUCAGACAUAGAGGGGACGACACACAUCAAAGAAUCUGGAUGGUGAAGAGAAAUGCCCAUUACUUCCAUUUUAGUGAGCCCAGCUUGCUUCUGGUUGCAAAGUCAAGUAUCCUCAUUCUAAAGAUGGGCUCACAUGAACAGUCAUGGAUUGUGGUCUUCUAGAAACUAUAAUCGCAUGAAAAACAAAGCCUACAGCUCAUUUUCAAGUAUCACAAGGAUAAAAUGACUAGCAAGAGAGAGUGAAGGAGAUGAUGGAUCACUACUCUCCUAUUUAAAGCCAUUUUUUUAGGGCUGGCUAUGCUUUGACUAAGCCACACCCCUUCUCAACUUCCACCUCGAGGAGGUCCCCAAAGCCAACCCAAUGGCCAAACAACACGAGAACAAAUGGGCUAUGGCCGGGAAGAGGUCAGGGAGCAAGGGGGCCACGGGGAUCCGGGGCGUGGGACUCGGGCCCCGGCCUGAGUCUUAGGUAUCCGUAGCGCCCUCCUUCUUCCUCCUCUUCGCUGAAUACAGCUCACGGUAAGUACUGGUUCACACAGUUCGUUCUCGAGGUGCUCACUCUCUUUCUCUUCCUCCACAGGCAACGGCUGGGACACAAAAGCACAGUUAAUUCGGCUUGGUUUUGCUCUCACCUCUUCGCUGAUUGCAGCUCACAGUAAGUACUGGUUCACACAGUUCGUUCCUUGG
This is a long non-coding RNA of Cyprinus carpio carpio, 1009 nucleotides long. The record is from Ensembl. NCBI's taxonomy places the organism in Eukaryota, Metazoa, Chordata, Actinopteri, Cypriniformes, Cyprinidae.